ACUUUCUCUUCAAGAGCUUUUAAUACUGUAGCAUUGUUUAUGUGACCUCCCUGUUACCUGUUCACUUUUUUAUAUCAGUAUGCAUGCUUCAUAUUUAUGCCUAUUAUUUUUUUUUUUUUUGUAUUUUAAUGCCUUAAUUAUUUUUUCAUUGUCGUUUUAUAUUAUUCUAUUUGUGUGAAUUGGUAAACCCAUGUGUGCCAUCAGUGUAAGAAGUGGUGGAGAUCCUCCAUCUGCUGAGCUCAAGACUUCAGUCUUAAGCCUAGAUAUACAGUGGUACCUUGGGAUAUGAACUUAGUUCAUUCCAGAAGGCUGUUCAAGUGCCAUUACUGAACGAAUUUGUUCCCAUAAAGAAUAAUGUAAAUUAGAUUAAUCCAUUUCAAACCCCCAAAAAUACACUUACAAAAGCACUUACAUAAAUACACUUAUAGUAUAAUUGUUUGAGUUUUCAGCUUAUCGUAUCCUGAGGUACCACUGUAUGUAUUAUGAACCUGCAUGAUUGUUUUUUUUAAUGAUUCAAUGAACACUACAAAUGUUUCCACUGCAUUGUUAUCUGCUAGCAACAUGGUCUUUGGGGAACCCUCAGCUGAUAAAAAGGCAUAAGAAGCAAUUAAAAAGCAAGUGGGGGUGAAAGCUUACACUAAGUGUGAAGGAUGUGAUGGAUCUUACUGGAGGUCAAGAGAAGCAAGAGUUGAGUGAAUGAGGUACACUGACACAUUCCAGGCGAGCCCUUUAGCACUCCUUGUGCAGAAAUGCAUUUUCAAAUAACAUACAAUCCUGUAUGCCCGUUCAUAAUGACAACCAUCAAGUGCAUAUGUAUGUUCUAUGAAUACAGAAAACUGGCUUAUUUUCACAAUAUAUGUUAUACCUGUAUACUAUAGUACAUGUAAGAAUAAUUAUGUACAUUUAUCAAGAUUUAUCACCUGUGUAUUUUAAAGCCAUAAUAGUUUGUGAAAAAGAAUUUUUGUAAUAUUCCUGUUGUUUCUUUUUCCAGAAAACUUUUGAAUAGGAUGUUCGUGGAACAGCACUAAGCAAAUAGGGGUCAUACACCACCAGGGGAAUAGGAAGCAAUUGGAUUUGAUUCAAAGAAAGGGAGGGUAGUUCCAGUUCUUUAAAUCAAAAGCCUCUCACUACUAUCAAGGCACCUUCCUCCAAAGAUCUUUUGAACAAUAUAUGUAACAAUGACAGGCACUUCAUCUCAUGAUGUACAGUGGCUUUGGAGAGAUCAUAUAGCAAUGUGCUGUGUUGCCCCUAUGGAUUUUGCACUUUCCCCUGAGGAUGAUAUUUUUACAGCUAUUAAAGCACUAAAAUUUAUACAACAUUCUGUUCUCACUGCAAGGUAAACAGGUUGUAAAAGCUGGCAAAAUGCAAAAGAGUCACUUUAUGCAAUAGAUGUGUUCUUGGCUGAUGACACGUAAAGUGAAAUUGCACAUAACGAACUCAUUAUAACAUGCGAGGGAUAAGGAUUCAUUCUGCGACUGCAAUUUCCACAUUAUUUUAUUUUUUGUUUUUUAUUCCAAAUUCAUUUGUGCUUUGUGAAUGUUCAUUUCAUGUGUUUAAAGUUCUCAUUUUUUUUUGAUGAAGAUUGGUCAAGGAUUGUAGAUUUAUAUAUAUUGUGGCAUUUUUGAUGAAGAUUGGUCAAGGAUUGUAGAUUUAUUUAUAUUGUGUCAUUACACAAGUGGUUGGCAGGUGGGGAAGGAAAAGCAGGUGGUUGGUGAAGGAUGACAGUGGGUGGGAAGCCAGUGACCUGUGAAGGGAGGCCCCAGCCCAGUUGAGUGGGCAGGUAAGGGAGGUCUAUCUAAUUGGAGUUAAAGGAAGACUGGAAGAAGAACAGGGACAGUUAAAUGAGCUGGUUUUGUUUGAUACUGGUAAAAAAUCAAGUAAUGCUAUGCUUGAGUGAUCGCAUGUGAGUGAAAACAUACAGAGACCAUACACUCCAAUUGCAUAUCGAGUGAAUUUUUGCCACAUAUAGUGAAUUCCUGGUAGGAAUAGGGGUGCCACAUAUAAGCGAAUUCGCACAUAGCAAAUCCGCAUAAAGCAGGGAAACCUGUAUUGUGUAUAUAGUUACUGUCUGCCUGCCUGCCUCUGUGUAUUUGCCUAUAUGUGGUUGCAGGGUUGAGUCACAGCUCCUGCCUGUUUUUUCUUUAACACACCGGCAAUCUCCCACCAAGGUAGGGCGACCCAAAAACAAGAUAAAACUGUUUCUCCAUCACUGUCUUGCCAGAGGCAUGCCAAUAUUACAGUUUUAAUAAAAAUAAAUAGCUCAGUAGCAUGCUCAGCUCACACAUUGAGGUCCAUGGUUUGAUCCCCAGUAUUGGUGGAAACGCAUGUUUCAUUAUGAUACUUGCUGUCCCUGUUCACCUUGCAGUAAAUAAGUACCUGGGUGUUAGCUGACUGGUGUUGGUCACAUCCUGGGGACAAAAUUAAUCUAAUUAAUUAGGUUAAUUAGGGGCUUUCUAUACAGUAUGUCAUUGAUGUCACCUAGGUUUGUAUAAGUUGUAUCAUGUACUUGUAGAAAUCUCUGGAAGUGAGAAUGACAUCACUCAGACUGUGAUGAAUAUGUGGGGCUGUGGACCACCAACAGCUGUUGCUGUUGGUGGCCUGGCCAUGAGUCGGGCUCCAGGAGUAGAAAAACUCUUGGAACUCAUCACUGGUAUAUCAUACCUCUAAUUUCUUUGCCUCCACUGUCAGGUUUCUGUCGUCACAUCUACAGUCUGAUGGACUCCUGUGAGGCACUGGCAAAAGGCAUUCAUUUUGGUGACACUUGUUCAAACCUUUCUCACGAGCUUCUUCCGACUAGAAAGGGCCUUCUGUUCAGUGGAGAUACUUUUGGAUCAAGCCCUGAUAUUAAUUAAUGUGGUGCAGUUUAGUAAAGUGGUACUUUCGCAGCUACGUCAGUCAUUGGUACAGAGUUAUAAGCCACAGUCCUCACCACCAUCCUAUCCCUCCCACAUUUUUAAUUUUUUCCUAGGUUUAUUUAUUAAUCACACAAAAACACUAAAACCAUAGGGGUCAUAUAGGGCUUGGAGAAUGGAUGGCAUUCACUUUCACUCCAAAGAAGGGGAGGAUAAGUCUAGUUGUCAGGAUCAAUCCAGGUUCUGGAUUAAUUGGAGUUUCUAUUUAUGUAAAAUUUGAUGAAGAAAUUAUGAUUUUUAUAGCCAUGUACUUGAAUGAUGUACAUUAUGCCACAUAUCUAUGACUUAUGUUUCAUAAUUUAUAAUAAAAAAAUGUCUAGGAGGAAUGCUAAUAAAUCUACAGCACAUGAGGGAAGCUCACAUCAGCUGAUGCUCCCACCACCACCUGAUGUGUGCCAAUUGAUUUCUUAACUACUUUUCAGAACACAUGAAGUAUAUGUAUUAAAAUUUGAUACAAAAUGUGGACGUUUGGUGUAGGUGUGAAGAGUUCUUAUUUUCUGGAACAAUUUUGUCAGAAAUUUAGAUUUUUAAAUUGUUUUCAGAUUUUUCUCAGAUGUUUAUAAAAAAAUAUAGUAUGUACUGUAAAAUAACUCAGUAAUAUGAUCUAACUUGCAAAAUAACUCAAUACUCUCCUCUAUUCCCCUGACCAACGAUGCCCCUAACAGUACAACCAUGUAUAGUAUUCCCUUUUGGCUUUACUCCAUAUAGUUAGGAAAAUCCAGCACAUGUUGCAUAAGUAGAAUUCAUCAAUGCCAGAGUAGAUUAGCAAUGAAGCACACAGUGAGCAAAUCUCAGCCAAAUUAAGUUUUGAAUAAGGAGAGGAAUUAUAGCCUAUAGUCCUUUGAAAAUGAAGUGCCUUGAUGCUGGUGAAUGGCUUUUGCUCCAAGGAAUUAGACCUGACCUCCACAGGUGUUGUAAGACACCUAUAGCUUUAGUACUCUCAUGAAUGUAAUAAUGUAACUUAAUAUAACCUAUGGUGUUGACAUAUUAACUUAUGCAUGGCACAUUCAUUAUGAUCUAUUAUAACUUAAUCACCUUCCUUGGAUCAAACCUUAUUAUUUUUCCAUUCCCAAGCACUGUAUGAGCCUCAUGGGUUUAGUACUUCCCCAUGAUCAUGCAGGCUAUUUAAAUUUUAGUUUUUGUUUUAAUUUUUUUUAUUUUUCUAAAAUUGUAAGGCAAUGACUACUUGGUGUUCUUGAAGACAAGCCUUGCUUUAUCUUGGCUAAUCACCUGUUAUCAUCAACACAAACCUUGAUUUAUCUUGGCUAAUCACCUGUUAUCAACACAAGCCUUGCUUUAUCUUGGCUAAUCACCUGUGUUAUCAACACCACCAUUGAUAAAAAAAAAAUUAAAUGGAAACUGAUUGCUAACCAGCUAUGUUAAUUUUGGUGAAUGCAUUACAGAUAGCUCAGUUCUGAAAACAUUAAUUUGUGAAUGUUAUAUAAUUAACAGAUGAGUGUGUUAGGACAAGUGUUGUGUUACCACCAAGUUAUUCUUUCAAGCCAAGUAAAGUUCACUGUGGAUCCACUGUUCUUGGUGUCUCCAUACAUAGCGACAAGUGUAAUUAUUAUUCUUACAUAAUGAAGUGGUAUUUAGCCUCCACAUUAUCAUUGAAAGUCAAGCCUUGAUGCUCUACAAAAUGAUGAAAUUGUUGUAAGGGUGAAAACUGCAACAAACUUGAUUUUGUUCCUGUGUGCAUUUUUUAUCACAGUAUGGUAUAUUUUGAGUUACAUAAAGGUGCUCCUUCCAUUUGUCAUAGUUUGAUUUUAAUGUGUAUGUCAUUUGUCAUUCUCAAUAAAGUGUUAUUCUCUGUA
This is a non-coding RNA of Cherax quadricarinatus, 4726 nucleotides long. Lineage: Eukaryota; Metazoa; Arthropoda; Malacostraca; Decapoda; Parastacidae. The record is from RefSeq and is a predicted model, not a curated record.